GAUGAAGAACGCAGCGAAAUGCGAUACGUAAUGUGAAUUGCAGAAUUCAGUGAAUCAUCGAAUCUUUGAACGCAUAUUGCGCUCUUUGGUAUUCCGAAGAGCAUGCUUGUUUGAGUAUCAGUAAACACCUCAAAGCUUUGGAUUUUUUAAUCGAAAAGCUUUGGACUUGAGCAAUCCCAACACCAAUCUUUUUGAGAUCGGUGGCGGGUUGCUUGAAAUGCAGGUGCAGCUGGACAUUCUCCUGAGCUAAAAGCAUAUUCAUUUAGUCCGGUCAAACGGCUUAUUACUUUUGCUGCAGCUAACAUAAAGGGAGUUUGACCGUAUUGGCUGACUGAUGCAGGAUUUCACAAGGGUCGGCAACGAUUCUUGUUAAACUCGAUCUCAAAUCAAGUAAGACUACCCGCUGAACUUAAGCAUAUCAAUAAGCGGAGGA
This 433-nucleotide unclassified non-coding RNA is filed under the name soil metagenome. Its description in RNAcentral is "partial contains 5.8S ribosomal RNA, internal transcribed spacer 2, and large subunit ribosomal RNA". The stretch from base 1 to 120 matches the Rfam family "5.8S ribosomal RNA", at positions 35 to 154 of the family's 154-position model. The record is from RNAcentral.